CGAAGGGGGCUAGCGUUGUUCGGAAUUACUGGGCGUAAAGCGAGUGUAGGCGGUUGCCCAAGUCAGGUGUGAAAGCCUUGAGCUCAACUCAAGAAAUGCACUUGGUACUGGGUGGCUAGAGGACCGGAGAGGAUAGUGGAAUUCCCAGUGUAGUGGUGAAAUACGUAGAGAUUGGGAAGAACACCAGUGGCGAAGGCGGCUAUCUGGACGGUUACUGACGCUAAGACUCGAAAGCGUGGGGAGCAAACAGGAUUAGAUACCCUGGUAGUCCACGCCGUAAACGAUGGGUGCUAGACGUUGGCGGGCUUGCUCGUCAGUGUCGCAGCUAACGCGUUAAGCACCCCGCCUGGGGAGUACGGCCGCAAGGUUG
This 370-nucleotide ribosomal RNA is filed under the name uncultured organism. RNAcentral describes it as "bacterial SSU rRNA". It matches the Rfam family "Bacterial small subunit ribosomal RNA", at positions 526 to 896 of the family's 1533-position model. The record is from RNAcentral.